RNAcentral lists this long non-coding RNA (1098 nucleotides) under Pan troglodytes (chimpanzee). RNAcentral's name for it is "lncRNA (ENSPTRG00000053126.1)". Lineage: Eukaryota; Metazoa; Chordata; Mammalia; Primates; Hominidae. The record is from RNAcentral.
CCAAGAGUCCCCACUAAGGUUCCAGCCCCAGGGAGGGAGGAGGAGCAUGCAGGGAGCAGUCCCGAAACCCACGGUCUGUGCCUCCAGGAGACCGGUGGGAGCACAUGGGAUUCACCAAGAAAGAGCAGACCCAGAGGGCACCGGGCCAGCCCCAAGGAUGGAAGCCGGCAAACAUGACCAAGACCACUGCAACUACCACCAGAGGACACACAUGAAGAGCACUGUGGACCAGAGCUUCACAGACCAGAGCACCAUGCAGGAGGAUGAGCGCUGGGCCUGUCCUUCAUGGACACCUAUGGCUACAGCUCCUGGGGUGAGUGCCCAGCUCUCCUACCCCAUCCUCAUGGCCCCUGAGCUCUCUUCUUCCAGCCCCUUGAGCCAACAGGACGAGGCCUUUUGUCGGGUCCUCCAUGCAUGAGAUGAGUUCUGUAACACCAAAACCAAAGCUGAAGCACCUAUUGGGCUUCUGCUGAAUACCAGCACUGGCACAGGAAAUACAGAGCAGGCACAGGUAGCAACUUUGCACUGUGUACUGGAGGAGCUUGCAAGGAAUUCUGCUAGCAUAAGAGGAAUGCAAGAUCCAGCGUGACACUUGUCAUGGAGGAGGUGCUGCUGCAGGAACAGAGGGAUCAGAGUGGCCUCACCACCUAUUAAGCUCCUGCUGUGCACGAGGUGGGGAUACAGUGGCUGAGAGGGACCUAUAGAGAGUCACACAGAUCACCUAUGUGGAUGUCUGUUUCCUCAUCUGUAAAACAGGUACCAAUCACAAGGCUGCCGUGAAGACUAAAAGAGACCAUGCAGGUCAACCACUUGGUGCAGUGCCUGACUCCAGAAAAAGUAUGUGCAAUCUUAGCUGGCAUAAUUUGUGUCUGCUAGACCCUAUGCUGAGCUUUAAUAUAGCACUUCACUAGACCUCUUUUUUUUAUGACAUACUAUUUGGUUUUUAUAAAAAUUCUAUUUAACAAAUGUGUCAAUUAUGAAGCAUAACAAUAAAAUUAACUGCCAUGAAUCAGAUCUUGGGAAGUGGAAUAUUUUCGAGGGCACUGAAGGUCCUGGUGACCCUCCCCAGCUGUCUCCUCCAGUGACCCCCAGGGGUGG